GUUCCCAUCCCGAACACGGAAGUUAAGUCCUCCAGCGCCGAUGGUACUCGGGACGCGAGUCCCCGGGAGAGUAGGACCCUGCCGAAA
This 87-nucleotide ribosomal RNA is filed under the name Bacillota bacterium. Lineage: Bacteria; Bacillati; Bacillota. The record is from RNAcentral.